GUUUGUGUGUGUGCCGGAGAAUAUGUAUAUGCACAUCACGUGUGCCAGUGUCUACAGAAUCCAAAAAGGUGUCAAACCACCCCAGAAUUGGUGUUACAGAUGGCUUGAGCCGCCUGAUAAAGGUUCUGGGAACUAAAUCCACAUCUUCUACAAGUACAGCAAGUGCAGCCACUAAGCCGUCUCUCCAGCCCUCUCUAGCCUGUUGUUGCUGGACAGGCUGACCUCCAACUUGAAUCUUCCUACAUUAGCUUUUUCAAGACUGGUAUUACAAGUGUCUGUCACCACACUUAACCUGGCACUACUGACUUCUAACAGGAAUACUGAAUAAAGCAAAUUUUGUUCUAACACAAAAAGGGCCGUGUUCUGCUAGACAUGGGAGAGAGACACAUCACAGUAUGACAGGAUUGUGGUUAUCCCCAUAGUAGGGAAAGUGAGGAAAAACAUUAAUGCUUCAUCUUCAAACCACCUUUUAAAUUGUAUUUUUAAAAAAUUAAAAAAUUUCAACCACCAUAAAUGCACUAUCAAUUGCUUCCUGAAGAUCAUUGAAACCAGCAAAGUAAAACUAGAUAGCAUAUUUUAUCAAUGUCUCAAAAUCCUAGAAGCAAAUUCAUUCCUAUAUUUAAGGUACUGAAGAUACAUACGACCCAGUAGUGGCAAGAGGAUCUCUUACGUUCAAGGCCAACAUAGUCUAUAUAGUCCUGGUCUCCAGGAUAGCCAAAACUACAAAGACAGUCCCUGUCUCAAAAACACAACAAAAAAGUAUUUUAAAAUCAACCUGAGUAGUGUAAAGAAACCUGUACAGACUCUCAUCAUCAGUACCCCACUACUUUCUAGACCGAUGAGCUAAUGCCAACAUGGCCCUACUGAUUCUCACCACUCCUUCAGAUCUUUCCUCAAAGGUCAUCUUGUGAGGUUACACAACCAGCCAUUAAAAGCCUGCACGCUCCUAUUCCCUACAGCCAAUUCCUCUAUCACAGCCCAUUCGCUUUACUCUCUCAAAAGUACCAUUCCAGGCAACAGACCCUGUUCCCUGAUAUCCCCAGUGUGUGUGUCAGGUGUUCAACUGGGGGAGAGGAGGAGGAGGAGGGAGCAGGCAUUCCAGUUAGGCAGAAUACUUAAAGUUACUAAUCUAAGAGAAGGAAACCCAGUGAAACAAAACAAAAACAGUGAAUGGUGUCAAACUAACCCACGUGCAGAGGGAGAUGCAUUUUGCAGAGAUAGUCUUAUGUACUGCAGGCUAACCUCAAACUCAUUGUAUACUCAAGGAUGGCCUUGAACUCCUAACUCACCUACUUAGCUAUCAAACACUAAUUACAAUUAUAGCAUGCACUACCAUAUUUGAAUUGACCUUUUUAAAAGAAACAAUUUUGGUGGAUACUAAAAAUUAAACUGUCCCCAUGGGCCACCAGUGUAAAACAUUAAUGCAGGUUUUUUUUUUUUUUUUUUUUUGGCCAGAGCAAAACAUUAACUGUAGUUAACAGUUUACUAAUCUGAUAUUUGAAAUAAAUCAUUAAUAUCUUUCUAACCUGAGGAGAAUCUGAUGAUUUAUGAGAACUGCCUGUUCACUUCUACAAAGAACCUGCGUAUACAACCGUGAUAUUCCUGUUAUGCCAGUAAGAAUACACUGACUACCACAACAAAUAAGUCAGUGUUCUUAUUUGGAAGCUAUAAAAAUAAAUAAGCUGAAGUUCGUGGCACAAGCCUGCAAUCCUGGCGUCUAAAAGGCUAAGUAAGGCAAGAGAAACAAGUAAGACUGGGCUGUACAUAGUGAGCUUGAGACUAGUCUAAGAUACAGUAAGAUGCUGGUGGUGCAUGUCUUUAAUCCCAGCACUUGGGAAGCAGAGGAAGUCAGUCUGGUCUACAGAGUGAGUUCAAGGACAACCAAGACUACACAGAGAAACCCUGUCUCAAAAAACAAACACAAAAUCAAAACAAAACAAAAGGGACUGAAAGAUGGCUAGGCAGGCAGUAUUUACUAUAUGUUUAAGCCCCCGAGUUUAAACCUCAGGUACUUGCAUAAAGGCCAGCAAGCCAUGGCAGUCUGGCUGUAAUUGCAGCAUUCAGGAGGCAGAGGCAAGCUGGCUACCUAAACUAGCUGAAUCAGCGAGCUCUGGGUUUAAUCCAGCAACCCUGCCUCAGUAUUUUAGAUGAGAAUUAUUAAGCAAGGCACCUGAUGUCAACUUCUGGCCUCUGCACACACAUUCACACACAAGUACACCACAUACCUGAACAAGUACACCCAUACAUUGCACAUACAUAUUAUAUAGGCAGUAACAGAAAUAAAAAGAAAAUAAGGAAAGAACAGACAAGUACCAUAUAGCACUACCAACCCUCCAUGAAGACCAUCAGGAAAACCCAUCUUUUAGAGCACAAUUUUUCUCUUUUCCAUCUUUGUAGCUUUUAAGAGCAGUCUUAUUCCAGCCCAGGCUGCACGGGUGCCUCGCCUUCCUGAACUACUUCUUUUGAAGUUAAGCAACCUUGGAGUUUAUCUUUAAAGGUUUUAAUACAGAUUUAAGCAUGGACGCUAGAAGUCAGGGGUGGUAUAGGCUUCAGAGCAACCUCUCAAGAGUCUCUUAAUCUACCCACAAUCUUGAUCAAAUAAACCAAAGCAAAUGAAAUGAAUUCUAGAAAAAGCACUUCCUAAACACUUAUUCUUUUCCAUUUAACAACUCAUAUCAUAAAAAUGUAGCAGUUCAUUUCCUGAACAAGAAUUCCAAGUAGUUAUUGAAAAUGAACUUAUAUUUCAACUACCAACAGGCAAUGUCUUCUCUAUCACAAAAACUGUUAAGCACUUCAAAUUUGAAAAUUAGAAUAAAUUCCUAAUUACUCCAAAGUAAAAUUUAUCUAUAAUCAUUAAUUCUGCUUGAUAAAAAGUCAAACUGUCCACAAACAAUUUGAAACCUUCUGAAAUCCAAUAGAAAAUAACUUGGCACAUAUUUCACUUGUUCACUUCACAUGUUCACUUGGCACAUUUCUAAAACUGCUUCAAAUAAUAUGAAAGGGACCAGUAAGAAUGCAUUUUGCCUACAGCUUGUAUAUAUCAUCUAGUUAAUUUCUAAUUCUAAGUCCUUGAUGGCCUUAGUGAAUGGCACCAUUUAAUGCGAAAGCAGAGACUUCCAGAAUGAUGUAGCCUGCAUAAAUACAAACCUUAAACAACCCCCACAUAUAUAACUUAUUUUAGCACAUGGCAACACGCUCAAACUAUAAUCAACUCCAUUUAUCUUGUUUACAAAUGAAACAACCACCUAUUGGACAAAAUUUUUAAAAAUUAAUCACAAAAAGAUAUUAUAUAUAAGAAGUACAGAGUAAAUAACUCAGCAGUAUGCUGAAUGGUCUCCUAUGGGAAUCUAAUAAAUUUUAUUCAGUGAAAACCACAGGUGAAAUUCUUACGAAAUGAGCUAGCGAGUAAGGGGUACACAACACGUAGAUGACAAACCAAAGUUUCAGGAGAAAAUUCAUGUAUACAACUGCUCCUAAAAGUCCCCUUUGCUGCCAAUUAACUAUUAUUUUAAAAAUAGCUAAAAAAUUAAUCUUUCCUUUACCUGAAUUCAGUAAGUUCUCUAAACAAUCCUCUAAGCUAAUGUUUUCAUAGAGGCCAUGACCACAGAACCCCUGGGUCAGACUUAAACGUGUGAAUACAUAAUUGAAACCAUACAGUUAUCAGUUUUGUGAAACCUAAGACAAGUACUGUAUGAUUUUUCACUUCCUAUCACAGUAUAAGAAUACAAUGUUCUAAGAAUAAAAAUUGGCGUGUGUUAUGAAGAUUAAGAACAUCUGCAUACCAUUAUCACCAUUUAAAAGAAACUAUAAGGUCCACUGCCCAGGAAAAAAAAAUCCUGGAGUAAAAUGUUAAUAACCUAGAACUACCCUUGCCGUCCCCAUUAGCUUUUCUUAGGCAGGUCUCUCUCUGCAUUUCUCUAGUUUCUUAGCAACCACACUGGCUCAAGCACAUACAGAACAAGAAAGAAAGAAAGAAAAAAAAACAAACAAAAACCCCACCUUCACCUUUAUUCCCUCUUUAAUAUUUAGAACCAAGAAUACUGAACUUUGCUCUCUUACUCUAGGAAUCACUCAAGACAGGGGUCCAGGUUAGAUGCCACCCUAGAGGUCAGUGACCAAAUUUGGUCAACAGUGGUGCCAUCACUGCCGUCAUCAUUCUUGUCACUGUCAGGAACAACUGUCACCUUGCCACCACCAGGAAGGCAAAGCAACUGGAAUAUUCCUUUUGUACGAUCUAUUUACAGAGUGCCCAACAUCAUCGUAGUGUGAUCUUACAACAUGAUAACAAAUGGAAGAACCCCAACAGAAAAGGACUUAGAGUGAGGAACUUUCUGAUACUAAAAACUGGUGAGACACAAGAAUUCCAGAGACCCUGCGCAGUCAGGGGUCACCUCUCACUGCACUGUAACCUAAGCAAAACAGCUUCUAUCAUUUUCCCCCCUCUAAUUCUUGAGUUAUUUUGUUUGUUUGUUUUUAAACACGGAAACUCAAUGGUAAUUAUUUAUUUUCUGGUGUCCCAACGAAAUUCUUUCAACUUUUAUGGGGAGACAAAAUAAUUUUUUAAAUACUUACGAAAGAUAUACAUGCUGCCAGCAGUAAAAUUCUAACUAGUAAGUCUUCAAACUGCUCAAUCACAAGUUCCAGCAAGGUUUUUCCUGUUAGAAAAGGAAAGGAAAAAAAAAAAAAAAAA
RNAcentral lists this long non-coding RNA (4690 nucleotides) under Mus musculus (house mouse). RNAcentral describes it as "long non-coding RNA chr5:122496158-122500848". Lineage: Eukaryota; Metazoa; Chordata; Mammalia; Rodentia; Muridae. The record is from RNAcentral.